This 320-nucleotide unclassified non-coding RNA is filed under the name Hevea brasiliensis (rubber tree). Lineage: Eukaryota; Viridiplantae; Streptophyta; Magnoliopsida; Malpighiales; Euphorbiaceae. The record is from RNAcentral.
GGCGGCGGCGGCGGCUACGGCGGCGGCCGUGGCGGCGGCGGCGGCGGCUACGGUGGCAGCCGUGGCGGCGGCUACGGCGGCGACUCCGGCGGGAACUGGAGGAACUGAUUGGUGGGGCCCAUCGUGGCCAGUUAUCCUUAGCUAUCCGUGUCAGAAUCAUCUUAUCAUCGAGUCGAGUCGUUAUCGUGUCCAGUGGCUCUCUCGAGUCGAGAAGCCCUCUAUCCAUCCAUCCAGUGUUAGGUGUUCUUCGUCCGUGAUGUUACCAUGAAUUGAGUUCGCUUUGGUUAUGGUGUUUGAACUGCUUGUUGCUAUCUAUCGGA